GGGNNNNCCAUCGGCCAAUUCCCUUNANUUGAUCUGGCUCAAAUGAACGCUGGCGGCGUGCUUUACACAUGCAAGUCGAGCGAGGCCUGGGGGCAACCCCGGAGUCGAGCGGCGAACGGGUGAGUAACGCGUGGAUGACCUGCCCUUUAGUGGGGAACAACCAGGGGAAACUCUGGCUAAUACCGCAUGAGACCGAAAGGUGAAAGCGGGGUCGUAAGACCUCGCGCUGAAGGAGGGGUCCGCGUCCGAUUAGCUAGUUGGUGGGGUAAUGGCCUACCAAGGCGACGAUCGGUAGCCGGCCUGAGAGGGUGAUCGGCCACACUGGAACUGAGACACGGUCCAGACUCCUACGGGAGGCAGCAGUGGGGAAUUUUGCGCAAUGGGCUAACGCCUGACGCAGCAACGCCGCGUGGAGGAUGAAGGUCUUUGGAUUGUAAACUCCUGUCAGCGGGGAAAAAGGGACUGGACCUAAUACGUCUGGGACUUGAUUGUACCCGCAGAGGAAGCCCCGGCUAACUCUGUGCCAGCAGCCGCGGUAAUACAGAGGGGGCAAGCGUUAUUCGGAAUUAUUGGGCGUAAAGGGCGCGUAGGCGGCGAUCCAAGUGGCGGGUGAAAUCCCUCGGCUUAACCGAGGAACUGCCUGCCAAACUGGAUGGCUCGAGACCGGGAGAGGUGAGUGGAAUUCCCANUGUAGCGGUGAAAUGCGUAAAUAUUGGGAGGAACACANUGGCGAAAGGCGCUCACUGGACCGGAACUGACGCUGAGGCGCGAAAGCGUGGC
Molecule: ribosomal RNA, 780 nt
Filed under: uncultured bacterium
Lineage: Bacteria
Description: bacterial SSU rRNA
Rfam family: Bacterial small subunit ribosomal RNA
Source: RNAcentral